Pezoporus occidentalis (night parrot) is the source of this 240-nucleotide long non-coding RNA. RefSeq lists it as uncharacterized. The transcript is spliced from 2 exons. Lineage: Eukaryota; Metazoa; Chordata; Aves; Psittaciformes; Psittacidae. The record is from RefSeq and is a predicted model, not a curated record.
GGGUGAUUUUCCCCGUAAUUAACUCAAACAAACCAGCCGCGGGGCGGCCGCUUAGCCCGCGCUGCCGCCGGUCUGUGUGCCUGAACCGAGCCCGCCGCCUAAGCCGGCAGCCAUAUCCUUGAAACUUAUCCUCGCAUCUCAAAAGACGCUAUUCCUCACGCUGUUGAAGACGCAUCUGCUUGAUCCGCAGUUUCCAUAACAAAGUUGUCAAUAAACACUCGACAUUUGGAAUCCAAGUGA